UAGGUCUACUGCCUUGCAAGGCCCCAGUGG
Molecule: non-coding RNA, 30 nt
Filed under: Mus musculus (house mouse)
Lineage: Eukaryota; Metazoa; Chordata; Mammalia; Rodentia; Muridae
Source: RNAcentral